This is a long non-coding RNA of Galeopterus variegatus (Sunda flying lemur), 1549 nucleotides long. RefSeq lists it as uncharacterized. Lineage: Eukaryota; Metazoa; Chordata; Mammalia; Dermoptera; Cynocephalidae. The record is from RefSeq and is a predicted model, not a curated record. The transcript has 2 exons.
UUUAUUUUUCUUUUUAUUAAAGUGCUUAAGUAGAUUGAACAGUGUUAUCAAUAAUCAACACAAACUUUACUGAAAUAUUCACAAAUAAAAAUCCUCUACUUUAUAAAUCAUUCAAAUAGCUAUGUAGUAAUAGUAAUCAGCAUUGGAAGUUGGUUAAUCUGAAUUUAUUCCUAACCACACAUAUGGGUUGUCAAAUUAGGAGAUUCAAUCCAAUUACCUUGCAUAUGGGCUCACUGUCAAUACCUGAAAGCUAGUCCCAGCAAGUCAGUGGAAAAAAUGAUGUGUUUUGAAACUAAUCAUUUAUCCUUGAUGCUUCCGUUUUUCCAUCUGCACUGAGAAUCUUCCCUUAGAGUUAUAAAUAAAGUAUGAAACAUUAAAGCUUAGCAUACUCUGUGCCUCAGAAAGCAUUCAUGUGUGUAUUUUUAAAGCGGCAACUUACUUGUUCUUGACACAAAUUGAAUACUAUAUGGCUUUAAAAGAAACAGAUUGAUGAUUGCUCUUUCCUUGAAAAUUGUCUUUUCACUCGAAUCACAUUAAAAUCAUACUAGCCUGACACCAGGUUAAUAAAAUUCAUAGAAGAUAUGUUCAGUAAGUUAUUUUGAUUGCAAUGAGGACUGCUGUCCUACUUAUGUAAAAUUUACAAAUUAUUUUAAGUUUCAUCCAUUCAUUCUUCAUGACCUUCCAUAAAAACAGAAAUCCUGCCACCCUAAAGCACAAAGAAGUAAAAUAGAAAGUUUACUUAUUAGAUUUUGAUACAGUUCCUUUGGAUAUUGUCAGGUACUCUUAUCAUAACUACACAGAGUGGUUGACAAAGGGCAGGGUAAAUAAGCCAAUUUUGACUAGAGCUACCAGCAUAAAGUGGCCUGGUGCCAUCAUAAAAAGAUUCAGUGGUGUCUAUGUUUGGGGAGAGUGGCAUUUAAAAUAAAAAAGCUUGAUGAUAUAUAUGACAAAAUUGUGGGGACAGAAGAAAAAUAAAAUGAUCCUAACUGAAUUAGAAACUUUUCUAAAAACCUGUUUUCUUUUGGGAAGUAUGUGAUUCUGCUAUAAAAGAGAGAAGUGUGAAGAGAUUGGUACAUCAACCCUUAUAGUUUCAAUAAAAUGUGUAAUACUUUUAGGUAAAAGCAGUAUUGCUAAAUCUCCACAUGACAUUUUGAAACUGCUAGCAAUAAAAGGAAAAAAGGCAUUAGUCAACAUUGGAGAAGAAGAAAAAUGGUAAGCUGUGAUGCUCUUGUUCUUUUCAAUUAAAAAAUAAAUCGAUCAUAAGCACAAAUGGACAGGCCAUCUCAAUAAAUAAACCUCCUGUAGUUAACCUGUCAUUUAAAAAAUGAAUUGGAUGAAACGGAUAAUUUUCUGCAGUGUACUCAGCCAUUUUAAGACUAAAGUAGUUUCAAAAAAACAUGAAACAUCUUUAGAGAAGGCCUGAUUAUUUCAUAUUAGUUGCGGCUCUUUAAAAAUUUCAGAGGACUCCAUGUCCUACACAGAGUACACAAGGAAAUAAUUUUCACACUGAACAUAGAUCCCUCAGGGAAUAAAGAAAAAAAAAAAAAAA